Molecule: long non-coding RNA, 805 nt
Filed under: Olea europaea subsp. europaea
Lineage: Eukaryota; Viridiplantae; Streptophyta; Magnoliopsida; Lamiales; Oleaceae
Source: RNAcentral
UUUCAUUUAACUUAUCAUCUAGCGUCACCUAAACUAGGUGCAUUACUUCUAUGUUUUAAUCUCCUUGCAUUCUUGUUAGCAGACAACUGCUAGAGGGGUGCUGAAUGUUGUGAGACCUCGCCCAACACUUGCAAUUCAGCAAUGAAGACAGCAUCUAUUCUACCUGCCAACUCUUGCAAGGUCUUCCCGGUUUUAUUUAUUGAAUUGUGCACAAAUAGAAUAUUCUGAUACAUAGAUAUUUUUUUUAUUUUUUUGAACUUGAAUGAUCCUUUUUGAUGCAUAGAGAUUAGAUUCCAUGAUGAUCUAUCCUGAAAACCAUUCAAAUUCGGUUUGUCAAAUUUCGAUGGUCAACUUACCAGAAUUCUAAUGUUUGAAAAAUGCACUGCACUCGACUGCUAAGAUCUAUGAUAGAUACAAAUGUGUUCUAUCUUGUUCUUCAGGAAAUCUCCAAGAUGGUUUUGAUUGUUAGGGUUGUGUAUAUUAACUGGGAUUUCAGGAGUGUACUCUAGCAGCCGGUUUUGCAGAUCAAGUCAAUUUCUAGAUUAUUGCUUGAUGAUCAUGUGUGGUUGAUCAGAUUGUGGAAGUCUGUUGAAGAGUUAAAAAGUAUAUGAUCCUCCUUGAUACCCAACAGGCAUCAGCGUCAUGUAUUACUCAAAAUAAAAUUUAGUUUUUUUUUUUUUUUAAUAGUUUAUUGAUGGUUUGUUAUCUUCAAAUAUCUGUGAUAUAAUAUUUUGAUUCAUUUAUUUUUCCUAACUGGUUCAAUCCUAUUUUGAUCUUUUAACUCUUUUUGGGAACAUGCUCAAGU